CCCACAAGAUGCAGUAGUGAUAAAGUCCGGAGAAUGUGGAGUUUCUUAUCAUUCAUCAAACUGAAAGUACUACCUUUAGAUUCAUACUGUUACAGUAAGGUCACCGUAGUUCCAUUUUUAGCGACGUUCCAAUUCCCUUUUCACUUCUGCAUUCAUGGUUGAUUUGGUGUUCAGCAGCGUAAGUGUCUGACCACUUAAGAGAACGCAAGUUCUACAGCUACAACAGGUAGGAAAUGUAUUAACUCACAGGAUUUCUGCACUUCUAUUCUCUCUCUCCUAGACGAGGAUAACUCUGAUCUAUAUGCGUUAGCCAACCAGCAGUGAACAGUUAAGUAAUGAUGGUUCAAUUGUAGCAUUGUGUCAACAAUAGAUAUAUUUAGUUAGCCUAUGUGACUGUGGGGAGUGUGACGGUGGGGAGCCUAGAAACUGACUGAAGUGGGAGUAAAGAUGAGAUACUGCCAAAGUGCAGAAGGGACACACAACGACUACAGUGUUAUCACUUCUCGUCUUCAUGAAAAAGUACAUUUUACAUUUCGUCUCAUCCGCCAUUCAGGUCAAUCCCACCAAUCUGUGUCACGCACCAUGGGCAGAUGUAUCGAAGUUUGCAAGCUGGUCUUAUGGGUUGCAGUUUGUGUGACCUUCAUUGUCUUGGGUGCUGUGUACACUGAUGACUGCCCAGUGAAACGUGUCAUCCCUAUCCACAUGAUCAUUUCUGGAUCUUUCGGUCUCCUCUAUGUAUUCUUCUCCUGCUGCAAGGACCGUGUUGUGUGCCAACAUUUGUCUAAACUAUUUUGGUUCAUGAUCAUCAUCUGGCUCAUUAUUGGUACGAGACAUCAAAUUACGAUACUGUUGGAGGAAAUUAUAGUUGAAAUGAUUAAUUAUGUAUACAUUUAAAUUAGAAACAUCUAUUCUAAUACUAUUAUGUUAUGGUAUGAAAUGUAUGGGUUCUUGGUUAAGCUGUUACUGAAAAUGUAAGUAAAACGAAUUAAUUGUCUGUACCUUGCGGGUUUAAGGGAGGGAGAAAAGUAUAUCUUUUAGACAGAUUGGAAUGUUUGUUUUAUGAGGGGAGUAGAAGAAGGUCUCCAGACCUGAAGACACUGCGCUAUUGUGGGGAUCGGAGAGAGUGUGUGAAACUGAUGACGUCAUUUUAUGUUCUCUCUUUAUAAUGUAAUGUUCUUUGUAUUUUGGGGCAGUACUCAUCAAGAAUAAAUGCUGAACUUGUUUUUAAGACUGGUCUCUUGCUAUUUCCUGCAAAAUGAUAAACUUACAACUUAUUAUGAAAUAGAUAAGAGUGUGAAUUUGGUUUUGGCUACAAAACAUAUAGGAAUUUAGAAUUCCUCUAACAAUUGGUCCUAGACCUGGAUCUAAAUACCCCUCCCUGUUAUCUGGAGGUAGUACGCUGAAAAUCGUGCACGGACGGGAGACACCCGUUUAAAAAAGUCCUGGCCUCCGAAUUGAGGUUAAAAUUCAGGCCAGCAUAUUAUAACAGAAAUCAGGGAGGGUGACUAGAUACAACGAACAUUGCUUUCCCAGUCGGCGAUAAGGUCAGUAAUCUUUAUUCUUGAUUAAGGGGGAAUGACUUAAAUUAUCAUAGGGUGGAUUUAAGUUGUUCUCAGAUUGAAAGUCAACUCUACAAAUAGGCUAUGCUUGGAGCGACAUUUUAGUUCAAAGUCCUAUAGGAACAGCGACUUACUGUAUAUUCCUACAGUGAUCACUGUAUACGGGUGAAAACUAGUGUCAGAUCGAGUGAUGAAUGGACUGGGGGGGUCUUUCCCGGUUUUUAGUAGUCUGUGUUCUUGAUAGUGAAAAGUGAUUGUGUGGUUGAGGUUCCGGGGAAGAAAUGGAACAGGUGAUUUUAUACCAUCAGCUUUCAAGAAUAGACACUGCAGGAUUGGUUUUGGGACUGGCCUCGGUCCAUUUGUUUUCGGUCAACUUUACAAGUAGGCUAUGUUUGGAGCGACAAAGUUUAAGUCAAAAGACCUAUAGGAACAGUGAUUACUGUAUACGGGGGAGUUAAAUGUCAGAUUGAACAAUGUAUCCAGCGGAAAGACAGAACAAGUGACCCCAUAGAUAUAUAGUUCUUGAUAAUAGACACUGCAGGUUGGUGGUCUUUAUUUAGAUUAUGGGGAACAAUUGAGUUGCUUUUCCGUUGGUCAUUUUCAAUCAACUCUACAGAUUAAGCUAUAUUUGGGGCGACAUUUUAGUUCAAAGUCCUAUAGGAACAGUGAUUACUGUAUAUUCCUACAGUGAUCGCUGUAUACGGGUGAAAACUAGUGUCAGAUUGAACGACGAGUGGACGGAGACUCUUGAGACUCUGUCUAUUUGUCCUCGGUCAACCCUACAAGUAGGCUGAUUUGGAGCGACAAUUUUAGCAGAAGUCCUAUAGGAACAGUAAUGUAUUGUAUACGGGUGAGACUUAAUGUCAGACUUUAGUAGAUGAGGAUUCCAAUAAAGAGAUAUUAACCAUAAGGUGUUAAAUAUUGGAAUUACUAGGAGUGAGUAGAUAAGGAUUCCAAUAAAGAGAAAUUAACAUAAAGUGUUGAAGAUUGGAAUUAUUAGGAGGGGCAGGAAUUUAUUAUAAUGGGUAGUAAUCCCUCUAAACUGCUUUCUGAAGAGACGGAAGAUUACCGUUAUAUGAAACAAAAAGAUCGAAGGAAUGUAGAUUUCUGUCCUAAAUGGGAAAAAAGGUAUGGUUUUGACGGACACCUAGAUGUCGAAAAGUUAGAAUCCCUUAUAAAACAGAUACAAAGGGAGCGAGAUUAAUGAGAAUCCUAAACUGAGGGAAAGCGUUGGGCGUCUAAAUUGGGGCUAUUUUCUGUUGUCAAGAUGUCGGAGUAACAAAUACAGAUAACUGUAAAAAUGGGUAUAUUUGCAGAGAGUCUCAGUCAGUUUCAUAGCGCUGGUGGUAUAGUGGUGAGCGCAGCAGUUUUUACCAACGGCAAUCCACGGUUCGGUUCCCAUCCGAGGCGGUUAACUAAAACUGAUAUUAGAGUGAAAUUCACCUAUUUGCAUGUUUUGCCGGAAAAAUACGGUCGCCAGUGUUUGUCUAAAUAUAACUGAACGUUUAUUAUGUGUUUUAGAUUGAAUAAAAAUAAAUAAAAAAGAAGGCAUUAAAAAUAAUGGCGAGACAAUUGAGGUAAUACGCUAUUUUGCCCAAAAUGAUCUGGGGGAAUAAUGUAUUGAGAUGGGAGUCGUAUUUAAAUAAAUGUAUCAUAGAAGAGAAAGUCACCUAAAGUUAAAUGUAGGGAAUAACGGAGAGAUACGAUACAAUUUCAUGCUAUCCGGACGUUAUAGCUAUUUAUGAAUCGACUGACAUAUGAUAAAUUUAGCACAAAACAUGGUACGUUUAAAUGUUAGGGUAUGGUAAGUUGAGAAGUUGGGUUGGUUUUACUUUGAUGAUUAGAAUUUAAAACUGAACGCAAUCUGAAUAGGGAAUAUAUAUUUUACAGAGGCAGGCAGAUGUGUGAUGACGUUUCACGUUGAACAACAUCGUUCCUCAAAUUUAAACAGGGAAAAGGGGUUGUGGCAUUUAGAGGGAAAAUGCGUGCAUUAUACCUUAGAGUUACUUUUCAAAAGCGGCCAGAAGUUCCAAAUACAUUUCUUUUAAAAAGGAGAAGUAUCGUAAAGAUAGUCUGAAAAGAUGCUACAGCUUGCAACGGCAGUGCUAGGCACUCAAUGGGCUAUAUAGUGCACCGCUUUGGACUAUAAAAUAGGUAAGAAUAGUUUAAUCGUAAAAAGUUGUGAUUGUUUUUCCGAGUAUUGAUUUUUGGUUAGGUAACGCCUGGGAAUUCGAACUAGAAGUUAACGUAUCCUAAAAAAACACUAUCUAUUUUUCUCUACUUUUCUUUACGGGGAGAAAGUAUGUCUUGUCUUAAAGGGACAGUGCACGUCAAUCACAGUGGUUUGAGUGUAUGGCAGUGUAUAAAAUAUUUUGGGACGACAAUUUGAAGAUAGACUGAAUGAGUUACAUGAAACAUCAAGAGAUUUAAAACAAACGAUGUGAAGGGAUUAUCUGAAUUAUUGGGUGUCGUUGUAGUAGUAAAAGUUUGGGUUAAGGGGAUUUCCCUGUUCCCAGUGACAAGGUAUUUUAAAGGUUUUGUAGAAUAGACUGAAGCAACCAGCUGGAUGGCUUGGCAGAAUAGAAUUGCAUUAGAUAUGUUAAUGGCUGAAAAGGGAGAAGUAUGCGUGAUUAUCAGGACCAUGUUUGUGCAUACAUCCCAAAUAACACAGCUCCGGACGAAUCAGUGCCCGAAGCCUCAGCUGGUUUGACCACCCUGGCUCAAAGGGUUGGCAGAAACUCUAAGGUGGAUACUUCUCUGACUGAUUGGGUUUUGAUAGUACGUUUGGAAAAUGGAAAAAUGUUAUGAUCACUGUGUUAUGGGCUACAUUCACCUGUGUGACUGUUUUAGUUUUAUGGGGCUGUUGUCUAAUUCCCUGUGUAUGAGGCCUUGUUUCCAGAACUCUGGAGAAAAUGAUGACUCAGCAGAUGAUGAGAUAUGGGCCGAUUCCAGGUUCUGACCCGUGGAGGACUGAAUGUAUGACUACAGAACAAGUGGACGAAUCUGGAUCUUUUAUUUGUGGGGAAUUUAUAUUUCAUGAGACCAUUUUUGAUGUUUAGGGAGGCUAGGUUGUAUCCCAUCUCAAUAUUAGACUGUUUUUUUAAUAAAGAUUGUAACGAAAAUCCUGAUAAGCAGAGUUAUAAUUCUGAUGUAGGUUUAAAGGUUAGAUUAAGGUUAAGGUUAGAUUUGAUUAAUGAUGGGUGAAGAGUCGGAUAAACAUUUAUAAUAAUGUUGGUUAUGUGUCUAUUCAUAUGAUAAUCUGGUAAACCUUUAUAAUAAGGUUAGUUAUAAGUUUGUUCAUAUUUUUGUUUUUUUAUGUUUGAUGAAAUUAGAUGUAGAUUUGAAUGUAUAAUAUUUAAUCAAAGGGAGGAUUGUUGGAGGAAAUUAUAGUUGAAAUGAUUAAUUAUGUAUACAUUUCAAUUAGAAACAUUUAUUCUAAUACUAUUAUGUUAUGGUAUGAAAUGUAUGGGUUCUUGGUUAAGCUGUUACUGAAAAUGUAAGUAAAACGAAUUAAUUGUCUGUACCUUGCGGGUUUAAGGGAGGGAGAAAAGUAUAUCUUUUAGACAGAUUGGAAUGUUUGUUUUAUGAGGGGAGUAGAAGAAGGUCUCCAGACCUGAAGACACUGCGCUAUUGUGGGGAUCGGAGAGAGUGUGUGAAACUGAUGACGUCAUUUUAUGUUCUCUCUUUAUAAUGUAAUGUUCUUUGUAUUUUGGGGCAGUACUCAUCAAGAAUAAAU
Long non-coding RNA from Oncorhynchus nerka (sockeye salmon), 5295 nucleotides. RefSeq lists it as uncharacterized. The transcript is spliced from 3 exons. NCBI's taxonomy places the organism in Eukaryota, Metazoa, Chordata, Actinopteri, Salmoniformes, Salmonidae. The record is from RefSeq and is a predicted model, not a curated record.